AUGCAUGCAAGUUGAGCGAAGCUUUUUGGUAGUUUACUACUAGAAAUGACUGAGCGGCGAACGGGUGAGUAACGCGUGAGCAAUCUACCUUAGUUACUGGGAUAGCCCGAGGAAACUCGGAUUAAUACCGGAUAUUCUUAUUUUUUCACAUGAAGUUUUAAGGAAAGGUCAGCCGAACUAAGAUGAGCUCGCGUUCUAUCAGCUAGUUGGUGGGGUAAAAGCCUACCAAGGCUACGACGGAUAGCUGGUCUGAGAGGACGAUCAGCCACACUGGGACUGAGACACGGCCCAGACUCCUACGGGAGGCUGCAGCAGGGAAUAUUGUGCAAUGAGCGAAAGCUUGACACAGCGACACCGCGUGUGGGAUGACGGUUCUAGGAUUGUAAACCACUUUCAGGAGGGAAGAAAAUGACGGUACCUCCACAAGAAGACCCGGCCAACUAUGUGCCAGCAGCCGCGGUAAUACAUAGGGGUCAAGCGUUGUCCGGAUUUAUUGGGCGUAAAGAGCUCGUAGGCGGUUCAACAAGUCGGUCGUAAAAGUUUAGGGCUCAACCCUAAAAUGUCGAUCGAUACUGUUGUGACUAGGAUACGGUAGAGGUGAAUGGAAUUCCGAGUGUAGCGGUGAAAUGCGUAGAUAUUCGGAGGAACACCAAUUGCGAAGGCAGUUCACUGGACCGUGAUCGACGCUGAGAGAGCGAAAGCUAGGGGAGCAAACAGGAUUAGAUACCCUGGUAGUCCUAGCUGUAAACGAUGGAUACUAGAUGUAGGAACUGGAUUGACGGUUUCUGUAUCGUAGCUAACGCGUUAAGUAUCCCGCCUGGGGAGUAC
This 828-nucleotide ribosomal RNA is filed under the name uncultured marine bacterium. Its description in RNAcentral is "bacterial SSU rRNA". It matches the Rfam family "Bacterial small subunit ribosomal RNA", at positions 51 to 883 of the family's 1533-position model. The record is from RNAcentral.